Molecule: ribosomal RNA, 508 nt
Filed under: uncultured glomeraceous AM fungus
Lineage: Eukaryota; Fungi; Glomeromycota; Glomeromycetes; Glomerales; Glomeraceae
Description: SSU rRNA
Rfam family: Eukaryotic small subunit ribosomal RNA
Source: RNAcentral
AGCAGCCGCGGUAAUUCCAGCUCCAAUAGCGUAUAUUAAAGUUGUUGCAGUUAAAAAGCUCGUAGUUGAAUUUCGGGGUUAGUAGAUUGGUCAUGCCUCUGGUAUGUACUGGUCUCACUGAUUCCUCCUUCCUGAUGAACCUUAAUGCCAUUAAUUUGGUGUUUUGGGGAAUUUGGACUGUUACUUUGAAAAAAUUAGAGUGUUUAAAGCAAGCUAACGCUUGAAUACAUUAGCAUGGAAUAAUGAAAUAGGACGUUCGAUCCUAUUUUGUUGGUUUCUAGGAUUGACGUAAUGAUUAAUAGGGAUAGUUGGGGGCAUUAGUAUUCAAUUGUCAGAGGUGAAAUUCUUGGAUUUAUUGAAGACUAACUACUGCGAAAGCAUUUGCCAAGGAUGUUUUCAUUAAUCAAGAACGAAAGUUAGGGGAUCGAAGACGAUCAGAUACCGUCGUAGUCUUAACCAUAAACUAUGCCGACUAGGGAUCGGAUGAUGUUAAUUUCUUAAUGACUCA